UGAAUUAGAAUAGACUUCCAACUAGUGAGGAUUUAUUUUACAUCACAAUAGUUUGCAUACUUGUAUGAUUCUUAGAUCAAACCUCAAAAAAUUAAUUAUCACACUAAAUAACAAAUUGUCACGGACACAGAAAUACAGACUCGAGAUCUAACAAGAAGUUCAAGAAGAACUGGCAAGAACUAGAUUAAUCAGAUGAAUACAAGAACAACACCAGAGAGGUGAGCU
This 225-nucleotide long non-coding RNA is filed under the name Physcomitrium patens. Its description in RNAcentral is "long non-coding RNA (PPAT_LNC004607)". Lineage: Eukaryota; Viridiplantae; Streptophyta; Bryopsida; Funariales; Funariaceae. The record is from RNAcentral.